This 1906-nucleotide long non-coding RNA is filed under the name Solanum tuberosum (potato). RNAcentral's name for it is "long non-coding RNA (STUB_LNC000435)". The record is from RNAcentral. Lineage: Eukaryota; Viridiplantae; Streptophyta; Magnoliopsida; Solanales; Solanaceae.
AAUUAUCCACUCACUCCAUUUAUUUAUUAUAUAUAUAAUAAGAUAAUAGUUAACAUAAAGACACAUGACCUUUUAUACUCAUUCCAUAUGAUAUGAGUAUUUAUUUAGGUAUUUAUUAAGUGAAAGAGUCAUGCAUUAUUAAGGAGUGGAGAAAUAGAAAUGACCAAGCUUGACUAUAUCGUCAAUGUUACUAAACUAAAUAUCCCCAGAAUUGAUGUUAAAACUACACCACCCACACCCUGAAUGAUGUUUCCAACAAGCAUGAGGGGAGCUUGAAGAAUUCCUGAGGUGGGCAACAAAGUACAAUUAACAAUUGGGAGAGCAACCCUUGCAACACAUGAAAGAGUUGACGUAUUUCCAAACAAAAUAUUUGUAUUGGUGCUCAAUGUAACAUUUAUUAAACCUUCAACAUUUGUGAUCACUUGAGCAAGGGUUGUGUUGCCACAAAUAAUGGCCACUAUUCCACCAAUGGGUGGUACUAUCCCAAUUUAUAAUUACUUUCAUGAGUAUUAAUUUUGAGAAUAUAUAUAUUCUCCCAAUUCUUAUAGAAAGUGGUUUACUUUUACGAUGGCACAGAUGAAAUCUGUCAAAUGUGUUCCUAUAUAUAAUUUUAGCACCCCACUCAUAUAUACGAGAUACAAACAUUCAUUAACUUUGAGUUAAAAGACUCUAACAUCUACAAAUAAUUAAUUAAUUAUAGGAUAAACGAACUCACAUGGAAGGAAUAUAUAUAAUAGUGCAUUUGUAAAAGAGAUAAAACUUGACUAUUAAAUGAAAUUAGAAGUAGUUAAUUAUCCACUCACACCAUUUAUUUAUUUAUUUAUUAUAUAUAUAAUAAGAUAAUAGUUAACAUAAAGACACAUGACCUUUUAUACUCAUUCCAUAUGAUAUGAGUAUUUAUUUAGGUAUUUAUUAAGUGAAGGAGUCAUGCAUUAUUAAGGAGUGGAGAAAUAGAAAUGACCAAGCUUGACUAUAUCAUAACUGUUACUAAACUAAAUGUCCCCAGAAUUGAUGUUAAAACUACACCACCCACACCCUGAAUGAUGCUUCCAACAAGCAUGAGGGGAGCUUGAAGAAUUCCUGAGGUGGGCAACAAAGUACAAUUAACAAUUGGGAGAGCAGCCCUUGCAACACAUGAAAGAGUUGAAGUAUUUCCAAACAAAAUAUUUGUAUUGGUGCUCAAUGUAACAUUUAUUAAACCUUCAACAUUUGUGAUCACUUGAGCAAGGGUUGUGUUGCCACAAAUAAUGGCGACAUUUACUCCACCAAUUCCGGGGCCUGGGGCAUUUCCCGAUGUGGAGCAAGACACAACACCCCGUAUAGUUAUAUUAGCUGGUUGGCCAACAACGGGUGGCACAAUUGAUGGUACUUGACCAACAACGGGUGGUAUUAGCUGGCUAACAAUGCCUGGUAAUACUUCGUUAAGAAUGGAUGGCAAUAAUCUUCCAACAAUGUCUUGUAAUAAUCUUUCAACAAUGGGUGGUAAUAGUUGGUUAAGAAGGGGUGCUAAUUGGCCAACAAUGGGUGGUACUUGGCCAACAAUGGGUGGUACUAGACUAACAAUGGGUGGUACAAUGGGUGGUACUUGUCCAACAAUGGGUGGUAUAAAUUAUAAUGGGUGGUACUUGUCCAACAAUGGGUGGUACUUGACCAACUGGUAGUACAAUGGGUGGUACACGAAUAGGACCAAGUAAGGGACCAAGAAAGGGUCCUAAAAUUUGAGCAUGGGCUAGAGGAGUGGUGGUGAUGAUGGAAAGCAGAAUAAUGAGGAAAACAACACACAUUUUUGAAGACAUGAUUAUGAUGAUGAUUUGAUAAUACUGUUUUCUAUUCAAUAUCUCUUUUUAUAGUGCUACUUAUUAAUUUACUCCACUCCUACCUUACCCUGCGCCACCCCACCCCACCC